AUUCUGGCUCAGGAUGAACGCUGGCGGCGUGCUUAACACAUGCAAGUCGAACGGGAUCCCAGGAGCUUGCUCCUGGGUGAGAGUGGCGAACGGGUGAGUAAUGCGUGACCGACCUGCCCCAUACACCGGAAUAGCUCCUGGAAACGGGUGGUAAUGCCGGAUGCUCCAGUUGACCGCAUGGUCCUCUGGGAAAGCUUUUGCGGUAUGGGAUGGGGUCGCGUCCUAUCAGCUUGAUGGCGGGGUAACGGCCCACCAUGGCUUCGACGGGUAGCCGGCCUGAGAGGGCGACCGGCCACAUUGGGACUGAGAUACGGCCCAGACUCCUACGGGAGGCAGCAGUGGGGAAUAUUGCACAAUGGGCGCAAGCCUGAUGCAGCGACGCCGCGUGCGGGAUGACGGCCUUCGGGUUGUAAACCGCUUUUGACUGGGAGCAAGCCCUUCGGGGUGAGUGUACCUUUCGAAUAAGCACCGGCUAACUACGUGCCAGCAGCCGCGGUAAUACGUAGGGUGCAAGCGUUAUCCGGAAUUAUUGGGCGUAAAGGGCUCGUAGGCGGUUCGUCGCGUCCGGUGUGAAAGUCCAUCGCUUAACGGUGGAUCCGCGCCGGGUACGGGCGGGCUUGAGUGCGGUAGGGGAGACUGGAAUUCCCGGUGUAACGGUGGAAUGUGUAGAUAUCGGGAAGAACACCAAUGGCGAAGGCAGGUCUCUGGGCCGUCACUGACGCUGAGGAGCGAAAGCGUGGGGAGCGAACAGGAUUAGAUACCCUGGUAGUCCACGCCGUAAACGGUGGAUGCUGGAUGUGGGGACCAUUCCACGGUCUCCGUGUCGGAGCCAACGCGUUAAGCAUCCCGCCUGGGGAGUACGGCCGCAAGGCUAAAACUCAAAGAAAUUGACGGGGGCCCGCACAAGCGGCGGAGCAUGCGGAUUAAUUCGAUGCAACGCGAAGAACCUUACCUGGGCUUGACAUGUUCCCGACAGCCCCAGAGAUGGGGCCUCCCUUCGGGGCGGGUUCACAGGUGGUGCAUGGUCGUCGUCAGCUCGUGUCGUGAGAUGUUGGGUUAAGUCCCGCAACGAGCGCAACCCU
RNAcentral lists this ribosomal RNA (1082 nucleotides) under Bifidobacterium adolescentis. RNAcentral's name for it is "bacterial SSU rRNA". It matches the Rfam family "Bacterial small subunit ribosomal RNA", at positions 16 to 1105 of the family's 1533-position model. Lineage: Bacteria; Bacillati; Actinomycetota; Actinomycetes; Bifidobacteriales; Bifidobacteriaceae. The record is from RNAcentral.